RNAcentral lists this ribosomal RNA (253 nucleotides) under uncultured bacterium. RNAcentral's name for it is "partial 16S ribosomal RNA". It matches the Rfam family "Bacterial small subunit ribosomal RNA", at positions 524 to 776 of the family's 1533-position model. The record is from RNAcentral.
UACGUAGGGGGCGAGCGUUGUCCGGAAUUACUGGGCGUAAAGGGCUCGUAGGCGGCCAACUAAGUCAGACGUGAAAUCCCUCAGCUUAACUGGGGAACUGCGUCUGAUACUGGAUGGCUUGGAUUUGGGAGAGGGAUGCGGAAUUCCAGGUGUAGCGGUGAAAUGCGUAGAUAUCUGGAGGAACACCGGUGGCGAAGGCGGCAUCCUGGACCAAUAUUGACGCUGAGGAGCGAAAGCCUGGGGAGCAAACGGG